CUGAUGAUCCUCCUGUUAGAAUUAUUGCCAUCGACAGUAUCCAGGUACCCAAGCAAGGACAGGAAUAAUGAAGAGACACGUGUGUUAGUUGCAACCUUCUGAACCAAGCAAGAAGGAAAUCAACAGUGUGGACAGGGCUGGAACCGUUGGCACGCUUGCUUGUUGGAGUGAAUGAGGAAUGGGCUUGU
This 188-nucleotide long non-coding RNA is filed under the name Canis lupus familiaris (dog). RNAcentral's name for it is "lncRNA (ENSCAFG00845026317.1)". Lineage: Eukaryota; Metazoa; Chordata; Mammalia; Carnivora; Canidae. The record is from RNAcentral.